AAUUAUUGAAGUAGAGAUAGUGCUGCUACGCGCCUAGUGGGCCAAAAGAAAUGUGGGAAGGGGCACACCCACCAAUAAUU
This 80-nucleotide non-coding RNA is filed under the name unclassified sequences. The record is from Rfam.